CUGUUGUCUAUACCCAGACAAAGGACUGAGCUAUCCUCCAACCAAGCCCAAGCUUGGGGGUCUGGGGAUGGGCAAUGGGAGGGGAUCAGAGCCAGCCAGACUGGGAGACUGCCUGCAGUCUUAGCCUCUGAUCCAGACGUUGUGUGAAGACAAGACUGAGAUAACCACUUUUUGUGGGACCGUGUGGGACCCUAGGCGCCCUCUCCCCCAUCCCGCUCGGCUCUCAGCACACGCCCUUGGGCUGAGCUAAGUCCAGAACCCGGCUGAGUAGGGGAAUUGUUCUGAGAAAGUGGCCCGUUGGCUGGUUGCUAUGGAAACCGACAUACCACAGCGUUGACCCCAGAGAGGUUUAGCACGCUCCCCCAGCAGGGAUGCCAGCAGCUGGACUGCAGCUGUUACAGCAUAAGUGGGGGCUGGAGCUGCCGCCAGCAGUCCCUGCUGUUUGCCUAAACUAGGCUGGGCAGCAGAGCCCCUCCGUGGACUCCGACCCCCACCUCCACCCCCAUCCCAAGCAUUACACUUGCUCCAGUCAGGAAAGGAGCCUGGUUCCAGCCAGGAUCGAUGGGGAUAGGGAUGGGAGCAGAGCUCAAGAGGAGAUCUCCAUGAAGCACAGCAUAUCCCUAAGGGUGCCCUGGGGAAACUGAGGCCCAAGGAAGAGGAGUUUUGGUUCCUGGUUAUACAACCAGAGCAUGGUUGGGGCUGGCCCAGGGCUCUGCCCCUCCAUGCUUGUGGUAAUUCCAUGGUAACUCAGCCUCCUUCACUCCAGACACCAAGGGACAUGAGGGAGGGGGCAUCCGAAAAUGAGAAACAAGAGCAGGAGGGAUUGGGAGGCGGGAAGCUGAUAACAGGAAUAGAAAGGAGCACACAAAGAGGAGAAGGCAUGUGAGUUUAUGAGCAGAUGGGAACGAGUGGGAGAAGUAGACAAAGUUGAGAGGCAGGGAGUUAGAGGAGGAGAAAAGAGAGGUGAGGAGGUGCUGGCGUGGAGGAGGGAUGGAUGAGACAGCCUAGCAGCUGGCUCCCCAGCUGUGGUCUGCAUUCCUCCCUGGCAAGAAGGCUUGGGUCCAGAGGAUUGCAUCAGAAAGCAGGACAGGACAAGAAACACGGGAAGAUGCAAAAAACAGAGGAGACAUGGAAGUGGAUUCCAGAUUUCGGGGAGGCAGCUCCUGCCAUUCUAUAAUGUCUAGAGUUCCUCAGGUGGCCUAAAGCCAACAUGCCAGCCAACUACCUGGACACCUAUGACCCUGUGCUAAACUGCACUCGAUCCCGAUGCUCAACAAAUACCUUUUCAGACAGAGAGGUGAGACUACUUCCCUCCUUGGGCAGCCCUAUAAGCUGGUCACCCAACCUAUUGUCUCUGUCAGGAGGCCGGAACAUAAGCCUUUACAUUCUCUCUAGACUGCCUUCUUUCCUGGCUCCCAGGUGUCAUCAUUCCUGCUAAUGAAAGGAAAGAUGUGGAAAGGAACUCUCUCUCCCAGGACCACUGCCACAUUCUCACCCCAGCCCUUUACCCUUCUUUUUUCAUGUAGAACUGGGUAUGCCACCAAAGCACCUUGUAAGCCAGUAGUCCUCCUUAGUCCUGGCCAAGACUCCUUCCUCCUCACUUCACAAUGAGUAACUUCCCUUUUAACUCCUCCUCACCAGCCAGCCUAAGCUUGGUCACAGGGCACUGGCAGAUUGUCUCCAUUCUCCUGCCCUUCUGAACCUCCAAGGAAUGGUUCUUAUGAUGGCUUGGCCUCAUGGGCACAGAGACAUGGGUCAGCGAGGGAAUGAACAGUCACUGUGACACACCAGAACUGGAAGUCUGAUUUGGCAAUGGGUCUGUAGAUUGCUUUUGCCUACAUACAACCUAUUCAACUUCUUAACAAAAAUGUGUUAUCUCAAAAUAUUUCUAUUAUGUUUUACUGAUCUGACAAGGACAGCAUCAGAGGUGAAGCCCUGCUUCUCCGGUUGGCCAACUCUCUUCCCAUUGAGCAAGACAUGCUCGCUGAUCAAUUGUGAACUCAGCUUCUACUUGGGAAGGAGAUUUGCUGGUCAAGAAUAUUGCUGAUGCUUCCCAUCUGGCCAGUGAGAUCAUUGAAGGCAUUUAUUGAGCAGAUGGCUCCUGACUCCAAACCUAGGCGAUGUGAGUGUGGUAACCAGGAAUGGCCAUGUGAAAAAGCCAUGCCAAACUCCUGACCAGAAAUCUGUAAUGAUAAAGGAACCACAACACAGAUCUAAUACACACAUGAGAGGAGUGAGUGGUAGGUGGCAGAGUAUUGUGAAGGCUGCAUGGUCACAGGGCACUGUCAUGUCCCAGAGAAGCAAUGUCCUGACCACUUAUCAAGGCAAAGUGACAUGCUCUCAGAGAAAUGACUGGUGUAGAGUUAAAAUGAAGCUGGGUCUCUAAGUGUAGAGUUAAAAUGAAGCUGGGUCUAUAAAACCAUCCCAUCCAUCUAGACUCUAAAAAGCAUCAACAUCCCUUUCUAACAGCAAGCAUCUCUCUGUACCCCUUAACCAUGAGAGGGUAAGCCAGAACCCGGGACUAGAAUUCAUAUUCUAAAUCACAUUGUGAGUUGGUCAUAAACCAUUUGAGUGAGUCAGCAUUUAGUUUGUAAAUCAUCACCACCAUUGCCAUCUUAUUUAAAAUAUCACCUCCUGUCCCACAGUGAAAGCUUAUUGUUCCCAACUGGUGACUGAACAGAGAGCGGCAGACAUCAGCCAAGCCCAAACGUAACCAACCAAGGCUCACUUUUGGGCCAGAAAUCUUAUCCCUAUAGCAUAAGACCUCUGUGUUAGUGUUUCCUAGUCUCACAGACUCUAGCGCACGGCAGAUGUCUAGUAAACACAUGCUGAGCUGGAAAAAAAAAUCAUUUGUCCUGAAGGCCAUUGCAAGAUGUGUUCAGCCCUGACUGUAAGAAUGGGCCUGGGGAAGGGAAAGAAAGGGAAGGGAAAAGAGAUCUUUCAGCAAGGACAUGCAUGAAUGACCUGUUGCAAGGGACAUCGUCCCAGUCAUUGUAUGGUCGUUUUGAAGGAAUAAUGAUAAAGGCAACUGAACUUGGUUUUUGUUUGCUUAAUUGUUUAUUUUGUUUUGUUUUGUUUUUUUGAAUAUCUGAAACAUUCCCCAAGUCGCCAACCUAAGUGAGCAGCAAAUACUUUUCUGAUGAAAAAGAAAAAGCAAAGAUUGAGACAGAUGUAACGGGAGUAGAAUUGGGAUGGCCAAUAGGGUGGUUAGUCUUAUAACAGGCUGUGAUGAGAAGCAAUAGGUCAUAGCAUGGAGGCCACCCGAGGCCAGGCAGGUCCCAGGCAGGCUCCCCACAGCAGGACACUGAUCAGGCUUCCUAGGCAAAGACAGGUGGGUGAUUCUCUAGAUUCUGAGAGGAAACAAUGUGAAAGAUAGCCUUCAGCUGGCAGAAAAGGUCAAGCAGAAGUGCACAGGUUAGACCUAGUGUACGAAAGCACAGGUUAGACCUAGUGCACAGGAGCAUAGACAAGAGGUCUUGAUAUAAUUUCUGAGGUGCUGAAGUACUUGGUCAGAAAGGCUUGGGGACUUAAGAUAGUCAAGGAAAAAGACCAAAUUCUUGGUGCACAUGGGGUGCUAGAACUAGAACCUCAGGAUAGAAAGGUUAUUUUUACUGAUUCCCCGUUUCUAAAAUUUUUUUUUUAUUCAAGCUGGCAGAAAACCUCAGGACUAUUUGUUUAUGUCCAAGUAUCGACAACAUAGUAGUCAGACGUACAUGAUAUUGGAUGAGUAAGUGAACUGAAGAAAACAUGGUCUUAGAGAUUGGCAGGACUCUGAAACCUUUAACUGAACAGUUUAGUUGUGCUCGAAGGCCUUGAGACAAUGGCAAACCUCCUAGAUCACCAGGAGAAGACAUACUUGCUAACUGCUUUCAGUAUUGGGUGUUCUGGGUCUGUGGUGGUCCCCUGUGAACCAGGACUGAGUUUAUUUCCACUUGAUUGAGCUGCUAUGAGAUCCCACUAUGCACCAGCGACUUCAUCAUAGACCAUGAUGAAUUGGGGCUUGUUGCCUGCAGUAUGUGAUGUUGCCGCAGCUCAGGCAGAGGCCGCAGCAGGAGCUCAACCAGUCCGCAGAAACUAUGGCGACGCUCUUUCAACAGCAAAGCCUCAAGAAGUGCCAGAUCCCUUCUGCUCCUUGGCUCACGUCUCCGUUUCCUAUAACCUACAACCAGGUGAGUCAGGGGUAAGGCAAAGGGAUUCUUCCAGCUCUGAGUAUGUAUGGGCUGCUCAUAUACUUCUAACUGCAGCUUGAUCUACCUACCACAAUCUCCCCUGGCCCCUGAAGCCAUCAACUGUCAAUAGCUCUGCAGUUAGGAGUGAGGAUAAUAAGCCCCUCCCUCUUCCUCAUCUUUUUUUUCUUCCAGAGACAGGGUUUCUCUGUGUAGCCCUGGCUGUCCUGGAACUCACUUUGUAGACCAGGCUGGCCUCGAAUUCAGAAAUCUGCCUGCCUCUGCCUCCUGAGUGCUGGGAUUAAAGGCGUGCACCACCACUGCCCGGCCCCUUCUUCCUCAUUUUUUAAAUAAUUUAUUUAAUUUUAUUUUAUGUAUAUUGGUCUGGAGGCAUCAGAUUGCCUGGAACUGGAGUUACAGACAGUUGUUUGCUGCCAUGUGGUUGUUGGGAAUUGAACCUAGGGCCUCUGGAAGAGCAGCCAGAGCUCUUAUACUGCUAAGCCAUCUCUCCAGCCCCCUCCUCCUCAUUUUUUAAAACAAGAAAAUUGAGGCUGAAAGAAAUUAUGCAACUGCUCAAUUUUAGAGGUUCAGUAGAUGAUGAGAUUAAGUUUCAAUCUUGAUCUGAUCCCAAAGCCCAUGCUGAGGCUCACUGCUGGAGUGAGCACAGAGCCCUGUACUAUUAAGGUUUGGAAACUAAGGCUGCAGCUCCUGCCCAGCCCUGGCACUCAACUGCCUCUCCACUGGUUUGCCCAUUAGAAGCCAUGAAGAUGCUCUUUCAACAGCAAAGCCUCACAGUGCCAGAUCCUUUCUGCUCCUUGGCUCACUUCUCCCCCGUUUCCUAUAACCUACAACCAGGUGGGUCUGGAGUAAGGCAAAGGGAUCUUUCAUCCCUGAGUUUUAAUGUAUAUUCUUCAGUUAAACAAGAGCAAUCAUUUGUGAACAGGCCCAGAUGUAAACAGUCCCCAAAUCAGGAAUUCCAGCUCAGAGGCACAGAAGAAUACAGCUUUGGGGGAGAUUUAGUAAUAGUAAAAUUAAAAUUGUAACUGAAGCAUAAUGAAGAAUGUGGUACAAAGAGGCACUGAAAAGGAAAAAAAUAAAAAAUAAAAACUCUAACACAGAUUAGCCCCUAUGGAACGGUGAUUGGUUGAGGGCAACAGUAAACAAUGUGCAGACAUGCAACUUAAUUAUCCCGCAAUUCUUCACAUUCUACCCAAAGCCACACUGGAAGGCUUUGAUGUUGGCAGCAGAGGUGACAGCAGCCUCCCUCUCCCCUGCUCCUGGAGGGAGAUCAUGGCUAAGACACAUGAGCAGCUGAGGCAGAGGGCAACAUCAGGAUUGAUCUGUGGAGCAACCAAGAAGUGACCAACGUGCUGAAAAGAGGCAUCACUCAGGGGCUACAGAACCAGCGGGUUGUUGAACAAAAAGGAGCUGUGGACCAGAGGUACAAGGAUGAGGACACUUCAGAGAAGGCUCAGAUCACCAUCAGUCCACCAAACCAGGAGAAUAGCCUGCUUGGGGAGCCUAGACCUUUUACACCCAGUACUGACUUAGUAUCAGGGUACCUUUAUGGAGAAACUAGGGAGGGGUUCCUUCCCUCACACAAGCACAAAGAGUACUUCCCGGUGGAAAAUGCCUCCCUUGCUUCCAUUUGGACCCUUCAGGGGCCUAUACAGGACUUCACAAGGUGGGAGCACAAGGUGGGAACACCACUGAGUAACAAGUCUCUCUUAGGAAUGUUCCUGACAGAGUUCAGAAGACACAGACUUAGUGGAUGCUAGAUCCAGAAGUCUAGUCCCCAAAGCCUCCAGGGACUGCUUUUGUGUCUUCUGAAUCUCCUCAGCCACGCUAAGAAAGUGACAUCCCAGCCACCCACAGUUCCUUCUGCUAAGGGCUCUUCUCUAUUUGUUAUGAGUAGGUAAUCCUAGGAACAGAGAGAUUGUCAGGGUUGGCUGGCUGGGUAGUUGGUGAAGUGCAGUCCCGCCAAGGAAUGGGAACAACACACAAUGAUCUCCUGAGGUCCCAGGCAGACUCAGGAGUUCCUGAAGCAAGAACUGUGAAUCAUGAGGUCUCUACCUCCAACUCCACUUAGAUCCUCCCUAGUUUCUUCCACUUGUCUGAUUCCUGAGAGAGCCUCCUGGAAGGACCCUGACGUGCAGCAGAAAAUGAGUCGAGUUGUUUUUUUUUAAUUAGAAAAUGAACUAGGAGAUCUGAGCCUCCUUCUCAAGAUCUGUCUAGAUCCCCACCCCCACCCCCACCCCCUCGCCUUCCAUCUUUUUGCACAGGCCAAGCUGCCCCAGUGACUCAACUAGCUUUUGUUUGCAUUUCCUUUACUCCUGAUUACAGAUUCUAAUAGAGGAAGGUCACCAAGCCCUCAGAUGGGAUACUGGUGGGCCAGCAGACCUGGGGCUCAACAGGAAGCAUUAUUUCUAUUUGUGGGUAAGGGAGAUUGAACAGGGACCAUCUAAGUAUUGAUGGUAGUUAUUUGGAAUACUGAGCUGGAAAGAUUGGCAGCUUCCAGACAAGAACAGAACCUGUCCCUGAAUCCCACUUUGCAGUUUUAAUCUACCAGCCCUUCCUCACUAGUAUACCUUACUGUAUAGAUAGAAUUUAUAUCCUUCAUAUCACCUUCUGAAAAUGUCUGGUGUAUUUUUAAGCUACCAUGAAGUGUUCCAUAGACUCCUCACUGCCAAAAUAAUCUAAGAUGUCUAGGAACAGGGCAUUGCUUCUUAAUGUUGCCCCAGGACCUAGCAUGUGGCAAGCUCUCCAUAAGCGUUGGCUAAAUGAAAUUAAUUGCCAGAGCCAAAAGCAAGGACUUAAGACCAGUGUCAUUCCAGUCAGACUUAGCCUGGAAGUAGGCUAAACUUAUGUCAAGUUCCUGAUCUCAAAGUAUGAGAGCAGCUUGUGCUCAGGGCCAAUGAGGUGGUUUAUAGGAUCAAGAAAAUACUCCAGGAGUCUGGAAGGUAGUAGAUAUAUGGUUAGAACCCUCACUAAGAGCCCAUGGCAUAUAUCUCUUAUAUUACACAAGCUAGGGUUUUAUUAAGUCCUCUUACUGACUAUAGAACAUGGGAUAGUCACUUUCCUUCCUGGGAAGAUACUAACUCUUAAAAAAAAAAAAAAAAACAAAAAAAAAACUGUGUUGCUUACUGUUACAACUUCAGUAUUCAGAUGUCGACAUGGUCUGUCUUCAACCAGUGUUGAUGAGACAUUUUGUUUUGCCCUAUGGCAGUGGGGAUGGAAUUCAAAAUCCUGUGCUUGUUAGGCAAGUCCUCUAUUACUAAGCUAUACCCUCAGCUUCUAAGGUGACAUUCUGUUUUGCUUCUUCUCAGGAUCCUUUGACUUCUUACUCUAAACUACCUAUGGCUUUGCCAUAGGCAGGACAGGUUCUGAUUUCCCUCAGGCUCGAGAGGUCUUAUCUGUUAUAUCUAGGAGUUCCCUGGGACCUCAGAUUUUUAAAUUUAACUGAUAUUUUCCUGAUAUAAGGGAAAGCAAUGUAUGGAUAGGAUUUAGGUUUGGAGCAGGAGAAAAAGGGAGCUUACCAGAGACAAGAGAGGACUCUGUAUCCCAACUAUUAAGAGAUGCAAAGUCAGCAAUUGUGAUCCUUUACUUUGUACAGGAUAUAGAUUUCCAAGAAGCUUCAGGAAGAACUGACUGCUCUCUGCACCUCACAAACAUUGACAACUGAGGCUCAGAAAGGGGGAAGUCACUUAAAGUCAUCCAGCUAUUUAUGUAGUGACCAUGCUUUAAAACUAAGGCCCCUUGCUCUCAGAGCUUGUCCCUUGGUGUUUCCAGAUUGGUCCCUUACAGACACCCAAAUCUAUAGAUGGUUGAGUUCCUUAUAUAAAUAAAAUGGCUCAUAGUAACUGUAUAUAACUUGAACAUGUCCCCAUACUCUUAAAAUCUCUAGAUUGUUUCUAAUGGUUACCGUAACAUAAAUGUUGUGUAAAAUAGUUGAUCAAUUUUUUUUUAAGGAAUGAAGAAGUCUGCACACAUUCAGUACAAUUGCAAUUUUUUUUUCUUGAGUAUUUUUCAUCCUUGCCAAGUUAAAUCAAUAUGGAGACCCUGCAGAUACUGGGAGAAGUCAGUGUUUCCUUUCACUCUUCUCCUCUCCCCCAAUUGCUCUUGCUGGCUGCCUUGGGCCUGCAGAAGAGCUCUGCUUACAGAAGGGAGCUGCUGAAGUGGUGAUUUCACAUCUCUGGAGGUAAGACUUUUCAAAACAGUGUUGGCAGAAUGGCUAUCAGAGCACGGUUUGAGGUUCGGGAAGAUGGGAAACCAUUGGUAACUUUUCCUAUUGGAAUCUAACUUUAAAGAUAUAUAUUAUCCCUAAAGGCUUUUUGGAAAUUGCCCAGUGCUAAAUCUUUGCUGAGGACAUUAGAUGUGUGCACCUCCUCUCUCCUGUUAUCUAAUGGCACAAGUGCUGUACACCUCCAUUUGUUUGUUUCCUUGGUGUGUGCGCCUUUCAGUCCCUGAAAGCUGGAGGGAGCCUGGUGUUACAUAAGCAGCUCAUCAGAAUUAACAUCCAGACAGACAUUGCACAGAAGAUGUCUUGGUCUUCCCACCCAAGAGGAACAUUUAUCUCAGCCCCACUUCUUCCCAGGGUACACAGAGAGACUUUGGUCCCAGUGACUGCCCCCUUAUUACCACGAAGCUCCUGGAGCCAUGGAAUUAAUUCAUUCACCCUGAAGCCUAUUUUGGUAGCUUGCUGCCUAGUAAGGAAAAGAAACUGAGGAUGUUUUGCUGGGGCCUCUAGGGCUCCCCUUGAGUACCCAGGACUUCCUGACAGCACUUAUUUAUUCAUAGAAAACCUACUGUGUGCCAGCCUCUAUGCUGGAUGCCCAGGAUAUAAAAACGAGGAAGCCAAGAUCCCUUCCUUGAAAAAUCCAAAGUAGAGGUGACAGACAUGCAAAGAAAUAGAAGCAAAUCAGCAGGACUCUAACUGAGCAAUAUAUGUAUUCUGGGAACUAAGGAGAAAGAAACUACUGGCUGUGUCUAGGGAAGGGAGGGAGUGGCAUUUGCAUAGAACCUGGAAGGAUCUGUCCGAAAGAAGACAGUAGAGGAAUCAGUAAACUGGGAUAGAGCCAAGUCAUUGCUCCGGGGUACAAAAGUACUCAGACUGGCUCUCAUUCAGCCAGACUCCUUCCUCCUUUUAUUCUGAGCAGGAAAUACAGGUGUCCCUGAGGCCUGCUUAUUCUUUUUGAUCCUCAGUUUCCUCUUUUCCAUAAUAGACACUAUAACAACCUGGACAUGAUAGGAGAACAAACUGAGAUGUGUGUGGCUGCAUGAAAAGCUGCCUAGCUUGAUAAGCAUGGAAGGGUGUGGCUGUAACUCUCUCCCAUCACUGGCUAGCAAGCAUCCAAGGACCUAGCCUCGUUGCCUGAGGCAUAAAGACACUGGUGGCUCUACUUAAAUCCUUCUAACCUGAACAGAACUGGAAGGGCCUUUUUCCUUUUUGUUUCUGAACUAAAAACUCCUUUGGAAGAAGCAGCCCUCUGGCCUGGGAGCUCCUAGGGCAGUACUAGAGGUCUCAGCAUAGGUCACACUCUGGGGACAGGAGUCAGAGCUGAUAGGAGACCUGCUCAGCUCAGUGCACAGGAGUCCUUAUGACUUGGAUGAAAAAUAUCACCCUAAAAUCUUUGUCUACUGAAGGUUGCUCCUCAGCUAGUAGAUCUAAUCUUUAAGAGGUAGAUUGGACUGUGGAAACUAUGACCUAAUCAAUAGAUUAAGACAUUGAAAACUCUAUUAUUUGUUAAUGUUAUAGAAAUAUGAUGAAGGUGGGGAUUGGUUAGAAGAAAUAAUUCACAAAGACUAUGUACUGGGGGACUAUACUACAUUCCAAAUCUCUUCUUUGUUCUACUUAUUUUUAAAGAAAAAAAAUUGUUCCAUUUCUUUUUUGGUGGGGAAGGAACAGCCUGUGUACAUUCCAUGCAUGCCUGUUGAGGUCAUGUAUGUACUGUAUGUGUUGGUACUUCUUUUUAUCAUGUAGGUCCAGAUAUUGAACUCAAGUUGCCAGGCAUGGUGGCAAAUGCCUUACUCACUGAACCACCUUACCAGCCUUGUUUGCUUUCUCAACACCAUGAUAUGAGCAGCUCUUCUGUUAUACCCUCUCCUCCAUAAUGUUUUGCCUUACUACCACGGAGCCAGCCAACCAGAAACUGAAAUCUCUGAAACCGUGAGGCAAAACAAAUCUUUCCUCACUUCAAGUUAUCUUUUUUAGAUAUUCAUCAUAGCGGUGAAAAAAAAAUCUAACUAAUCCAGAAGAGCUUUGAAAGAUUCUCCAGAGUAACAACAGCCUAAGAUCCCUUGAAAGAGUGAGCAAAUGUUCACAUGCAAUGGGCCUGCAGGCAAAAAUGCUUAGCUGCUUUUGAUGACAGUAAUCAAGGUACUGGCAUCUGCUGGAAUUUGAGCCUAGAGUCCCCCAACCUGCAGACUGCAUGGACUUCUCAAUGAGUCGCACCCUGCCCUGGCUUCACACAUUUGCCCAGUUGUCUCCCAAGCCUGUCUCUGCUCCAUCUGGGAAUCUUACAGAUUAAUACACUUGUCUCUACCGCAGGUCAUUAUGGUCUCUUACAACAGCUGCCUACAAGAUCUCCUGACCUCUGUGCUUGCCUCUCUCCGGCCGGCUGUACAUAUUGAAAUCAUAGCAAUCUUUCCAAAACACAAAGCUGGCCAAUUAAUCCUCUGCUUAGAGCUCUUCAGUGUCCCACAACCAGUCUCUAGGGAAAUAUGGCCUUCAAGACCCUUCUUGAUGUUCAGCCCCAUCUCUCACUACAGCCUUUGUCCCACAAUGUGCCUGCCAGAUGGAAAAUUUUACAUUUCUCCUCACCUGCCAGGCUAUCUCUGGCAACCAGCACUUGAUUCAUGAAGUUCCCUCUGCCUGAAGUUAUUCCACCCACCCCCUGCCACUUGGCUAACUCCUCAUCCUCCAGGUAUCAGACCAGACCACCCUGUCUCUAGAAGCCUCCUUGGAUCCCCUGAGAUUUCCUGAGGUGCCCUGCUGGCUGCUCACAGAGUGUCUGCCCGUGCCUGAUUACAGCACUUACCAUAUUGUACCAGUGGUGCCUGCUUACCAUUCAUCUGUCUCUAUUUUUCCAAAAGGACAUAGCCCCGCUGAAUGAAGCUCAAACAGGGUAGGCAAUAAGCAUAUGCUGAACGGAUGACAAAAGGACAAAUGAAUAGACAACGAGCAAGUGAAGGAAUGAGUAAAUGAAUGAUGGAGUCGGGACCUAUGAACUGAAAAGACUGGAUUCUGCAAAAACGCAGAGCAGAAGAGCAUCUCCACUGCGGAAUCUGGGCACACAAUACAAGAGGUAGAGAGGCAGAUAGAGGGAUGAACAAGUUUGGGGGCUAAUCCAGCAUGCAGAGUGCAACAGAGGAAGGGGUGGGGCUGGCAGAAAGGCAAGGGGUGUCUGCAUGGAGAGCCCCUUGUCAGCUUCCUCCUUACUGCAUCUGCAUAAAUCGCAGCUACCUGACAAUAGUCUCAUCAAUAAGGGGACUUGUCCUAUUUCAUAAACUUUCUUUAAAUUAAAAUCCAGGCGACGCACACACAUACACAUAUACCCCACAGACAUCUUCUUUGCUGAAAAGUUGCUCCCUAUAAAAUAAAAGAAGCUGUUUAAAUGUCUUCCUUCCAAGCUAGCCCCACAGAGCUGGAGCUGAGAAUACAUUAGCCUUUAAUGAAGUGAGACUCUCAUCUUGCAGGAGACACCUCAUUUAGCGCAAUUGUUUCAGAGCCAUUACAGAAAGACAAUUACAAGGAAGCGGGGAGAGUAAUUGGAAAUGCUGGCAGGAGUUGGGCGAAAUGAUAAUAAAUAAAAAUAUUCAACCUAAUAAGCUUCCAGGAGGGGGUGGGAUGAAGAAAAUCAACAUAAUUAGAACUGAACCUUAGCAAGGAAAAACAGACAGCAGGGUGGCAAGUGCUCAACUUGUACAGGAAGGAAGAAGUCAUAUGUCACCAACCAUCUUUUGAAGGGCUACAGGCCACUUGGCCUUCUGGAAAUCUGUUGAGGGACAGGGAAGGUGCCUACAGUCCAAAGUCCACUGAGGAGUCAGCGGGUCCUACUCCUAGACCCAGAAAUCUGGGUGCACAAAAAGCACAGGCCCAGCCCGGCACAGCUAAGGGACUUCAUCCUACUGAGAAGAAGCAAAGAGAGCCCAGGCCAGAGCCUGACUCUGCCGCUACUGGUUUUUUGGUGGCACAACCACGGACAGUUGAGCUGGUGGCUUUCUGGAACUGAGAUUUCUCAUUUUGGCAUGCACCUGACCCUUCUUAUUGUUCUGUGUUCCUCACAGGUUCACAUCUGAUGGGUCUCCUUUUGAGUUCUGAAAUUUCAACCCAGAAGUUAAGCUUGGCAACCCAGCCUAUGCACUGUUAACAUAAAAUCAUUUCCUAAGCCCCCUCUCCUUCUUGCAGGGAGUACAGAUUCCCCAGCCUGUUGGAAUGGAGGGGUGCUUUGCCCAGUGGAGCCCAAUGUAGCUCCUACCGAAUGUUGGCAUUUGUCAGAGGAGGCUGGCUCAUCCUAAAAGACGGAGUUUUAGAACAUUUGCAGAGGAAAUGGGCAGCCUGGGACUGGUCAAACAGGCCAUAACAUCUGGCUUCCAGCCUUAAGACUAAAUGUACCUCUGGGUUCAUCAGAACCUUGGAGCAGAAAACUCAAAGCCAUGGAUGAGCAAAGAACCUGGAUGCCUCCCUCUUAGAUAAACCAGGAGUAAUGGUCUUGUUUAUUCUUCCACUAGUUAAACAGGCAUCAUCAAACAGAACGUGCCAGGAGCCAUGCCAAGUGGAGCAAGGGCUAGCAGCAUCAGCCACCAGCCACGGCCCUCUGUGUGAAAGGGCGAGCAUAAGCUACCUGGGAUGCAGCUACCCUGGCCUGUGCCAGGAGUUUCAGACCAGGGGCUAGGAAGGGAAUGUUGGACUUUUUCCAGAAGAAGCUAAAACUCUCUGGAAGAGAUGACAACAGGACUAGGAAGAUGAGUGAGCUUUGGCCAUGUGGAAAAAGAAAGACUUCUGGUCAAGGUAAAGGGAUACUAUCAUCUGGGGGGCCAAUCAUCUGUGCCAAUCCUGCAUCCAUCUGGAGAUCCCAUAUGCUGAGGCUGGGCAGGAGAGAGCAAAUAAGAAGAAACAAAAGAAGCUAGGAAAGACUCUUUGAACCAACACUCUUGAAAACUAGAGAUCCAGGCUGCUACUCUGACAGCCUCUCAUCCAGCUCGCCAGCAGAGGCCUCAGGAGUUGCUCAACAAAACAAAUAUGUAUCAGGUGCCAAUGUAAUGAUGGGGGCGCAUUUUUUUUUUUUUUUUGAGACAGGGUUUCUCUGUGCAGCCCUGGCUGUACUGGAACUCAUUCUGUGGACCAGGCUGUCCUCGAACUCAGAAAUCUGCCUGCCUCUGCCUCCCAAGUGCUGGGAUUAAAGGCAUGCACCACCACGCCCAGCCUAGGUGGGGGUGCUUUUUAAUAAAAUGUGAGUAUUCUCAUCUAAUGGAGAGGAGCUAGGCACUGAAGUCCAUUGUCAUGACAUUAUAGAAGGAUGCCCAGUGUAAUCUGGGCCCUUGUCACAGAUAACCUGAGUUUUCUCCAGUCAGUGGAAGGAAUGGAGAAAAUUGUAGGCAAAGAACAGUCUCAAAAAGACACAGAAGCCUAAAACCCCCUGGGAUCUGGCAACUGCAAAUAAAGUGUAGACUGUUGGCUCCUGGGAGGAGAUAAGAGGAGGCUGUGGCCAUUCUUAGGGUGACCCACUGGACCCAGAGCUGAGUACUACACACAGACAAUGCUUAGUAAAUGUGUUUUGAUUGGAGACUGCCAUUUCUUGAAGUAAGAGCUGGGAUAAGCAAUUCAUUCUUAUAAAGCCCCAGGCACUGCCACAUGCUGAGGUGUAUUUAUUAAAGCCUUUGAUGAGAAAGAGGAGAAAGAAGAGGAGGGGGUGGGGAGCUGAAGCAGGGUGGUCACCCUCACUUCCACAUGCUCCCCGGUUUCCAGAACUGAGGCCCCAGGUCUAAGAAGGGAAGGUGGAAACUUCUUAAACCUCUAACUGGAGCCAAGCAUACCUCUCAGAGGUUGUCAUUACUCUUCAAUGGGAAACCAAGGCUAAAUAAGACAACGUUCUAUCUGAUGAGAAGGGAAAGCGAGGAGCAGGAUUUUAGUCUGGAACUUGUUGCUCCUGGAUUGAGCCCUCUCUCCCUGUGAUGACAGGGCAACCUGAGGAAGGUAUGGUUGUUAUAAGUAAGUAACUAGCCUAGACUGGGGUACUCUCUUGGCUGUUCUACUAGCAGCAAAGGUCUGUAAAUGAAACCUCAGAUCUUUCCCUACAGGGGCCAGGAUUGUCCUGUUAGCUGUUCCCUGAGCCCUGGAAGUCUGCAUGUAAAGGUUGGCUAAGAAGGAUUCUUAUCUACAGGAACUCUAAGGAGUUCCUUGUCCAGCCUGAAAUUACAUUUUGCAUCUCGGAAAGGCACACUCACCCUGAUCCCUGCUCUCCCACACCAGACCUGGUACCGUGCCCUUCUUGGGACCUAGGAGCCCAGAGUUACAGUUUGGUCCCUUUCUUAUGCAUCCAGUCAAGAGACUGCCUCUUUUAUCCUGUUUCCCCACUCUAUGCUGAGAAAUUCAGAGGCCUCUAAGAUCUCUUAAGAGACCCUUAAGCCUUUCUCUCUCCCUUCUCUUCCCCAACACAGAGGGUUUCCUCUGGUAAUCUGGCUACAAGCCAAUGUUGCCCCUCACAGGUCCUUGGAAAGUCCUAAGUUAAGCCAUCCUAAGGGCAGACAAGGCUUCAAUACAACCAGGCUAGGUAGGUAGGUCAAGGAGUUAAGAGAAACAGCAAGUGUCUCAAUUCAAAGCCAAUUUCAACAGCUUCAUUUGAGAAAGACAUCCUGAGAACACUGGAAAACAGCUUUUGGAGUCAUGGAAACUUUCAGGCAUUAGUGUUUGCUCCACUUUCUAGCCUUGGUCCCAUGGGCCUAUGGCUGCCCUUACUGAGGCUGGUCUCAGGGUUGGAGACACUGAGCUUUUAUAGUACAGGUAAUCUUGCCACUCGUCCUAGACUAGAAUGAUAAGAGAACUCCUAAAGCACCUGAUAUAUUUAAUAUCGAUGGGAAUUUCAUGGUGUAAGGCUUGAGUUGAAGCUGCCCACGCCCAGUAGUCACCAAGGCUAGACAGUUUCAUGAUAGGAAACUCCACCUUCCAACAGGGACGGGCUCCCCAGGACAGACCCAGCUGGGUGGCCAUUUAUAGAUUUCUUUUAUUCAUAUGAAUGUUUUCCCUGUGUGUGUACCACAUGUAUGCCCGGUGCCUGAGGUGGGUGCUGGGAACCAAAUCUGGUCCUUUACAAGAAUAAGUGCUCUGAGCCAACUCUCGGUCCCACUUUAGUUUCUUUCUUGCUUGCUUUCUUGCUCGCUCUCUCUUUUUCCUCCUCCUCCUCCUCCUCCUCCUCCUCCUCCUCCUUCUUAAAAUUAGGUUCAAAAUUAAAAGUGACAGCAGUGAGCCCUCCCUAUUUCUGCAGACAUUUGGCCUACGGUAGGGACCAGGGGCAUUAAUUAAACUCACCCCGUCUCCCCGAGGAGACCUGGCCAUCAUUACAGAAGACAGUAUCUCCUGCACCAGAGAGUGGCUUGGCUGCUCUCAAGUCCCAGCCCGGAGAGGGAUCUGCCUUGUGGGCCAACCUCAGAGGCACUAGGCCCUCCCCCUGACACCUCCCCCAGCCCAGCCUAAUUCAGUCCUAAGUAUUCCUAAGGUGCCUUCCAAUUUCCUGCUGUAAUAAAUGGCACAGAAUGCAAAUGGAGGUGGAUGUGGGACACAGAUGUUUGCACUAAUUUAAUUGAGGGAACACCUUGGAUUAAACACUUUGCAAAACACUCACAAAUAGGUUCAGUGCAUUUGGUAAUGAAAAGCAUCCCAGCCCCCUGGCACUUUGGAGAGGCUGCCUGGGGCUGGGAGUAGGAGGGUCUGGGGGAGAGGCCCAGAACACGGGGAAGACAGGAAGCCUUGAACCAAGGAGAAGAAGGCAAGGGAACCAGGUCUCUGGGAGAGCUACCAGCAGAUCCUCCCCCAGCUGGGACCCACCCUGCUAAGAGAAUCUAGAAGAGUCAGGGGUAAGGAGGUAGCAUCUGCCUUCGUAGGUGGGCACCUGCUUACCUGUAGGGGUCAGCAGUAGACAGAUGCUCCCCAUCCACAGAACCCACCUACAAGGUGGAGGCUUCUACCCAGCUAGCUGAGUUGCAUUCACCUGAAUGGGAUUGGACUUAUUGUACACUGUGGCAUGGGAGGCAGGCAUUAACAGAUGGUGAAAAGUGCUUAGGGAGGUAGACAAACCUUGGGAGCCAGAGAAGGGCCAGCAGUUUGGCAUGAGUGGGUCUGAAGACCAGUGGAGAGCAAGGGAGAUCAUUCAAUAACGUGCUUUGCCAUACAUGCAUGAGGACCUGAAUUCUUGAGGACCCAAGUCGGAAUCCCAAGAACACACAAGAAAGCUGGUGGUUGCAUGUGCACUGGAGAAAUGAAGACAGGAGGAUUCCCUAGAGCUUGAUAAGCAGCCAGUGUAACCAAUCCGUGAGCUCCAGCCUCAGUGAGAGCCCUUGUCCUAAGGAAUAAAGUGGAGAAGCACUUGAGGAAGCUAAUAUCAACUUCUAUCUUCUAUGCAUGUAUGGAUACAUGUGUGUGUGUGCUCACAUGACUCACAAACACACACAAAGACCAAUGGGGGAAAUAGGAAGACAGAACGUUGCUAGCAAAAGCAGCACUGGAUAGAAGCCUCGGCAAUGGCAGAGACUCUGAAAACAAAUAUAAAAAUGGCCUUGAACUCCUUUAGGGGACAGGUGCACAGUGAAGAUGGGCUGCUUUCCCCAGGCUCCUUGCGCCUUAGUUACAAUCUGCUGCAGGGGAGACAGGAGAGGACUCUGGGCUGCUUCAGUUCAGAAAGGUUCCAGCAGUCAGGUAAAUCUGCCAUUCGUUUCUAAUCCUUGCUCUGGGAGUCUCAGAGUUCAAACCAGGCUUGGAUGAUUUUAUACUCCUGAAAACAGAAUCCCUAAUUUUCAAACACAAUGAUCAGUUCAAGUGUAAUAACCAUUCAAAUAAUAACCUCUUAUACUUCUGCAGUGUGCUAUAGUUUAUAAAACACUUCUGCAUGUCUCUUAGAUUCCUUCACACAGCCUUCCAGGAAGACAGAAUGGGGGAGUUUGAUUAUUCUUGCUCUCUGGGUGAGAGAAUCAAAUCACAAGAGCCCAGCUAAGAACACAACAGAAGCAGAAUUCAAACCCAGCCUACCUGACACCUAAGUGCACACAGGUUCAAACCUUCACGGCACACUUGCCCAGUACCUAGAAGCACGACAGACUCAGACCUCAGCACAGUCAGCAAGAUCAGCUAAAUGCAAACCUAAAUGAAGAAACAGCCUCCCAGAGAUAUCUCCGGAGUAAAAGACAACAAGCACCAAAACCCAGGAACUAAAAACAACACACACACACACACACACACUCGAAUUCACAUUCAUUCACAUUUAUCACACAUGAAGAUCUGAGCCAGUUUUCCCAGGCUAACCCUACCUAACACAGAACGGACUUUUACUCCCAAUAGCACAACUCCUGGUUGGGCAAUAGUCCAAAACAGUCCAAAGCAGCAGGCAAGAAUACACCUUGGGUCCUGUGCUCCCAGAAGCACCAGCACACAUAGACAGAGCCCAUAGGCAUAGUGGGUGGCCUGACACAUGUCUGAGCUCUAGUGUUCUCAGGAAUAGCAGAGUUCACACUUCCAAGGCGGUGUGCAACCGGUUAGGUAGGGUGGCUGAGUGAGUGGGUGAUGGGCAGCUGGAGUGAAGAGGUGAGGAGGAGAAAGCACAGGAGUCUUCACAGGUAGCUCACAGGUAGCUCCUGCUGGCGUCACCAUGAGCCUGUCCCUUUAUGAGGACAGAGGAGCUGCAGGUUGCUCAGCUGAAGUAAUCCGCACAUUACAGGGCUCAUGUGAACAUGUGUGAGAUGGGGCAUUGGCACCUCCAGCACAAGGGCCAGUGCUUAGAAGAGGACACAGAAGAAAGCACCAUUUUGACCUGCGACAUACAGGUGCUGAGGGAUAGGGGACCGCCAUCAUCCCUUUCCUGCUGCUGGGGUUUACUCAUCCAUCACAUCUCUCCUCUCAAUCGACUCACCUUGCUGUUCCAGCCAGGCAUGGCUGUAGAAGCUAGGGUUAAGGGAGCAUGAGAUUUAGUGCCUAAUGUGAGUAAUGUGUACGAGGGCCUGCAGUUACCUCCAGGGAAAGACAGGAGAGCAGACAGCAGAGGGGUGGAGGCAGGCAAGUCCCAGAGGAGGCAGCCACAGGAACUGCUACAGCAGGAGCAGGAGAAGCGUUGGAUAAAGAAAUUCUACACAGAGAAGCAGCAAGUGCCAAAGCAGCCAGGCAGAAGCACAGAGCACUGAGGGGACCUGCAUGGGUCUGCUACCUGGGACCUUGUGGCAGGAAUAUGCCACCCCUGAGGUGGAUGGUAGCGUGGUGGAGAGAAGGUGGGAGAAGAAGCUGGAAAAGCAGAUCAUGGUCACCCAGGCCAAAGCAGCUGGCUCUCAGGCAGUUAUCUGUGAAAAGCCUAGAAGUGGUGCAGCACAGAAGUCACAUGGUCACCAACAGUAGCCCUGCCUUAUCCACAGGAAAGAGAUCCCAAGACUCUCAGUAGCAAUCUGAAGCCAUGGAAGGUGCUAAAUACUCUCAUUCUCUCUCAUAUGUGUGUGUUCUACACAUACAUAUAUGGUAGCGUGUAAUUCAUAAAUCAAGCAAGAGAUUAACAAUAGCUAAGCCGGACCGUGGUGGCGCACACCUUAAAUCCCAGCACUUGGGAGGCAGAGGCAGGCAGAUUUCUGAGUUCGAGGCCAGCCUGGACUACAGAGUGAGUUCCAGGACAGCCAGGUCUACACAGAGAAACCCUGUCUGGAAAACAACAACAACAACAACAAAACAAAACAAACAAACACACAAAAAAAACAAAUAGCUAAAUAAAAAAGAAUAAUGAUUUUAUUUCAGAUUAUUACCACAUAUUACAAUAGAAAAAUCAUUCAAAACUUAUGGGAAAUUUCUGGGUAAUAAUUUUUGGCUAGUGGUCAACAGCAGAGAGCUGAAACUAGGAAACCCAAGGAACAGAUACGGGAGGCUGCUCUAUACACAGUACUAAUUGUGCUCCAGCUAUGGGGGCACAGUGCUGGCCUCCACUACAUAGAGUCUCUCCUUGACCAGCUCUGAUGAUAAAUGAGUCUGACAAGGAGGUCUCCUCUUCGAUUCAUAUAAUUAAUUAUCCCUUGAGAAGUGGCCAAUUUAGGAGCGCGUUUUUCUUUUUGAAGAGACAGACUGGCUGACUAACUGAAGGCCACAGGAGAGGUUCCACAACCAGCCAAGUCCAGCACCUGCAGGGAAGAGCACUUGGAAGUCCUUGGAAACCUCCUUCUGAGGUUCAAAGUUCUCCCUGAGGAUCUGGGAAGAAGUUGAGAGUGGCUGUUGUAUUAGUGAAGAUGUCAGAUGAAGUGGAGAAGAGAAGAGCAGUUUUGCUGGGUGCCCGGAUUUAUGAGCUACUGCAUUUCUGUGGGUAAGAGUAGGGCGGGAGUUUCCAAACCCUGUUCAAAGCUGCUCCCAGCAGGACAGGGUCUCCUUCCCUUCUCGUCUUUCCCUUCCCCUCCCCCAACUCUCUUUCCUAAACCCCUCUCCAAAAAGGUUUAUGGAGAAGACUCCAAAUAGCCCCCUCUCCUGCAGGCAUAGUCACACCAACUGAAAGGAGAUUUAAUUAGCAAAAUCUCGUUAGGCAAACGAAAUUAUCCGUAAGACAAUACUCUUCUGGACAGGGGGUAUGAUUAAACAAAGCCAUUAAUUGAGAGAGUCGCUUUGGCAGCUCUCGAGUUGCGUUCAUCUCCGGGCAGGCUCCACUCUGCCUCCGUGGACCAGAGGGGAACAGAGGCAGGCCUCCUCCCCUGCCUGCCUAGCCCAUCUCCUCUCCACUUCAUCUCUGCUCUUCCCAGGGCCCCUCCGGUUAGGGCUGCAGACCUCGGCAUCUCAUCAGCGGCCUCUCUGCUGCCAGAUUCCCGCUAAAGUGCCUUGAUUGCAUAAUGUCUAUUUGCAUAAUGUAAAUUGCAAUCUCCUAGCUUGGGAGGCAGGAAUCACAGAACAGCCAUUAUUUUUUACCACUCCACAAAAAUUCUACAUUUAGAAAGCAGAUUUGCAGCUCAGAAAGCCAUAUAAAUCUGAAUCUGCCAAAACGCCAUUAAAUCACACCAAUUAAGCUGGACCUAGGCAGAGCCCAUCUCUGCUCUCUGUACAUUCCAGUCCACAGAAGGCCAUAAGACAUGGGAGACCAAGACAGUAGGGCUGGAGGCAGAUGUUGAAAGAACCAGGCAGGGAACUCUCUCUUACAAGCUUGAUCAGCGCACUACCCAUAACAUCCCUCUACACACACACACACACACACACACACACACACACACACACACACAUCUUGGCUGAUAUUUCUUUAGUAGUAGUAGUAGUAUGUCUGAGAUUUCUUUAUUAGCAGCAGCAGUAGUAGUAGUAUUAAUAUUAUCAAUAUAUUUUUUUUAAUUUGGGGGAGAAGUUCUCUGUAUGUUAUCAUCGCUGGCCUGGAACUAGCUAUGUAGGACAGACUGGCCUCAGAAACACAAAGCUCUGCCUGCUCCUGCAUCAGUGAUUGAGACUAAAGUACUACUGUGCCCAGUUUGCUGCAGACUUGUGAUUUCGGAGAACAAAAAAACGUAAGAAGGUGAAACUGCACCUUUAAGUAAAACCAAAGCGAGGCCUGAGCCAGGUUCUUCACAGAGGAUUAAAAUCAAUUCCUAUCAGCUCUGUGUUAACCUUUCCUUUUCUCCAGCUGAGGGGAAGAGAAAGAGGGAGUGCAAAAACCUGGCUCUGACUUGGCUGUUGUGGAUGGAGUCUGAGUUCCCUGAAGAGCCCACUCUGAGAGUCCUUGGAGAGAGGGGUGAGUCCCAAGGUCUGGAAGUGCAGUACUCCCGUGGACAACCACCCAGCACUCUGACUUCUCCGAAGCAGUGUACCUGGAUACUCUUUUGCCUCUUUAUUGCUCAUUCAAUAUUCAUUUGUCAAAGGGCAAGAUGCUAAUGUGUAUUAUUAAAAUAUCAAUAGUUUAUGAGUGAACUUUAUGGCAAGUACAGUUAAAGGCAGGAUUCUUGACAAUCUCUCCGAAGCAACAGAAAGGAAUGAUCUUUCUCCGUAGCUUCUUUCUUUCUAGUCUUUCUAAUUUUUUUUUUAAUUCACUGGAUAAAUGAAUGGCAAAAUCACCAUUGAGCACCAUGUGCCAGGAAUGAGUAUUCACAACUGGUUUGCCCCACAGUAGCCCUAGGAAGUGGAUACAAUGUGAUACCUUUAGCUGCUCAAAUUUAACAAGUUUCCUGACCUAAAUUCCAUGAGAGAAUAAAAAAAAGAGGAAAUUAUCUCAUACUUUUAUGUCAAAUCAUCUUCAUAAGUAGGCCCACUUUAACUCUGCCUAAGCAAGUCCCAUAAUCUGAGUGCUAAAGGCAACACUGGGGAUGAUGAUAUCAGACAUUUUCUUGUUUGAGGAGAAUAAACUGAGACUCUCUCUUUUGGAGAGGAGAGGGGAGGUUCUGAGACAGAGGUUCUGAGAGGGGAGGUUCUCUGAGUAUCCCUGGCGAUCUCAGAACUUGUUCUGUAGACCAGGUUGACCCUGAACUCUUUCUUUUAAAUUAGAUUUUAUUAACAUAAUAAUUAUGCACAAUCUAUACAUGCGUACAAUAUGCAUUGACCAAAUAAUGAAGCAGUUCAAGUCUUGAUGAUAGUUGAAUUUCAACUGUUCCAUAGACUUCCUUCCUGUGGUACUUCCCUUGUCCUCUGGGUCUUCUUUCUUUGUACAUACAGAGCUAAUAACAGAAUCCCAUAACAGGGUGAAGUGAGAAAAUGGAUCCCAAGGGCUUAGCAUAGUGCCCAGUAAACACUCAGCAAAUGUUGCUUACUAAUAUUAAAUUUGACUUCACGAGGAAGAAAGCCUUUUCAGCGAGUACCCCUCUUCUCUGCCUGGCCCCUGGUACCAGCCAUUCCUAAGGGCCAGCCUUUGUCAGAUGGACUAGCUCUGUUUCGACUCUUCGGUGACUUGGGAUUCAUUUUUUAUCUCUUAAGUUACAGUUAAGAAGCAGAGCAUCCAGAUUCUCUUCAAAAUUUAGCAGCACCUUUAUCAGGCAUGGGAAAGGAGAAGAGAGUAGUCCUCUUAAGAGUGAGGCUCGUCUUUAAUCCUAGCACUUGGGAGGCAGAGGCAGGCGGAUUUCUGAGUUCAAGGCCAGCCUGGUCUACAGAGUGAGGUUCAGGACAGCCAGCGCUAUACAGAGAAACCCUGUCUUGAACCUCCCCCCAAAAUAAUAAUAAUGAAAUAAAAUAAAAUAAAAUAAAAUAAAAAAGAGUGAGGCUCCCAGACCAGAAUGAGUGAUAGAGGAAAAAGAGACUAGCAGAGGUGUUGGAGAGACCAGGGAGAGGUUGAUUUGCAGAAUUCUUCAACCCCAUCAAGUCCCUCGUAUUCUCCUAAGCUCUGAGAUUUACCUGGAACCUACCCCAACCUUGGCAGCCAUGACAAUGGAGAUGUGGGAAGCCUUGGCAUGAGUAGGGGUCCAGGCUUACAGAAUCCUUGUUUAUAGGUCUAGACUCUAAAUCUAAGAUUUCAAGCUAUGGGUUAUAAAUUAUAUACUGGGUUUACUCUCCCUGGUAUGGGCCAUGGCAUUACAGUUUCCCCCAGCACAGAGCCUGCUAAUACUACCACGCCCUUCCUGGGAAGAGGCUGAGUUUGGCUGUGAAGGGUUUCCAAGGCUAAGGUUUCUUUCCAGGGUGUAAUGCAUGUUAUGUUGGUAAAUCAUCAUGUCUUGUUUAAGCACCCUAAGAUGCUGACUUGGAAGCAAGGUUGCCCCUCAGCCCACUUCAAAUCCAGGCAUGCUUACGUCUUCUAAACAUAAGUCCUAAGGCAGGCUGACCUUGAGCUUCUGUGACAGAAAGGAAAAAACCAACAAACCAACAACCAGUAAGUAGUAGCUAAGGGUGUUAAAAACAGAAGAGCCCGAAGAUAAACCAUUUCCAACCAAGGUUACUACUGCUUAUCCCAUAAUGCAAAAUAUGCCUCCGGUGGGAACAGGAGGCCAGAAAUUCAGCUUCAAGAAGUUAACCUAUAGACGGAAACUGCAACUGGGGACUGCCUCAACUUCCCAGGCUGGUUUCUUCUGGAUGACUGUAAGUGUAACUGAUUUGAUGAUGCCAUUUUCCUGCUGUUAUUUGUUCUUUUAUUUAAAGUCUCACUCGAGAGGACUCUGCUCUGUACAGGGCUCUCUCCGCUGUGAGCUCCAGCUGGCUGCCUCAAUGAGACUUGUCCAGUUUCUACCAGAUCUUUAUAAGCCCUAACUUGAUAUCACCUUUUGUUUGUGCUCUCAGUUGGGAUAUUCCGAUUACCUCUACCACCUGAUUUGAUGAUAUUUUUGCCGUCUGCUGCUUCUAUGGCUACUCACUGUUUAUUCUUUUAUCUUUUGUUAGUUAUCUACUUAAUAAACUCAUUCAUUCAAAACUGAAAGUACAGCAAUCAUAGAUCAUUCUCAGACUGUACAGAACACAUCGUUCCCCCAGGAAGGGUCAAUUUCAAUUGUUCUGAGGAAACAGAUAAGGUCAAUUGUACCAGGCCAGUGGCGGCUCCAGUAGGUUGCGGGCUUCAAAGAUGAGAACAACAGCAUACAAUGGCUUCCAUAUCUAUAGGUUAUAUCGCAGAUUCAGUUAAUCACAGAUAGGAAAUAUUUGAUAAGUAAAGUAUCUGUAAGGAAGAAGGAAGUACAAACAUUGUUUUGUUUCCUGCUAUUUCAUAAGCAACAUAGUAUUGGCAACUAUUCACACAGCGUUUACAUUGUGUUCAGUCUUGUAAAUAAUCUAAAGAUGAUUUCAAGUAUGUGGGAGGAUGUGCAUAGGCUAUUUGUAUGUAUUAUGCCUGCCAGUAUCUGCAUCUUCAGAUUUGGGGCUCUGCAAGGGGUCCAGAACCAUUCCCUGUAAAUACAAAGGGAUGCCUAAAGACAUUUAAACUCACACCCCACCAGCACCACCACCCUGCCACCACACUUGGCUCUUCUUUUAGGGGGUUGUUGAUACUGUUGAGAGGCACUGAGGAUUGUAGACCUUUGUACCUGCUCUGAUGGACAGAAUGAAGUUUGUUGGUGCUACUUGACUUUAUGGAGCAAGUCAUGAAAGGCAAUAAAGCUUCCCCAUGACUUUUGCUCUCCCUCAGGCUGCUUCCCCUUAGAAUUUGGCAGCCAUAUCGUAAGGAAGCCCAGACCACAUGGAAAUGCCAUGAAGUUCUGACCGACAGUUCUCAGUCAAGAGCUAGAAUCAAGGCUCAGAAUUUUGAGUGAAUAAACCUAGGGUGAUUUCACCGUUCAGCUCUGAGUUGCCUUAACUGAAAUCCCAUACCCGAUUGACAGAGACAGGCUGCCUUCACCAUAAAUUCCUGACUCACGAAAUAUAUGGGCAGAAUAAGCACUCAUCUUCUGUGUGUUGGAGGUCAGUUUGUUACACAGCCCAAUAAGACACCACUAGAAUUAAACACUACUGUGUAUUGUUUCCACAAAACUCAGCAUCAAUCAUUGGAUUCCCCUGAAUUCCCUCUGAAGCUUCAGACUUUCUGUCUCUUUCCUGUUGAUCUUGUCCCUGUCACUCUGGGCCUCUCAUCUUCUGCCUCCCUCUUCAAAGAGCACAAUCCUCACACCUGAGGUGGCUUUGGCAACUACUACCUGAAAAACCUUUGACACCUGCCCAACUGAGAGCCCUGGGUCUGCCCUUGGGUUCUCACUGGAGGUCCAAUAGUGUCCCUAUGAGGGAGUUUUCCUUGAGCUUGGGUGGCCCCGUGCUCAGAAUGCCAGAUUUCCUUACACAAUGGUGAGGGAAGAUAUAGACCAAUUUCUCUCCCACUCUCAGCUCUCAUCCAAGUUCACGCUCAGCUUGUUCCUUAAAUAUGUCUUGACUUAUGAGGUCCCAGUAACCUCCGCUAUGAGAAGACAUUGAUUCUCGCAGAAGUCAUUAUCCAGUUGCUCUGACCCACACUCGCGCCCACACCCUUAUCCUCCGUUCUAGGCUUUCCUGGAACAGGAUGGACAAAAGCACCCUUCCCCAUACCUUCAGCCUGGGGAUUCUACCACUCUAGCACCAGGCUUGAGAGGAGGUGUCCUGGGAGCCGAGACCCGUCAAUCACUCACUCAGGCAACCAGCACUGAAUUGCAGGCCAUUAGGCAGAGGACCGGCGCCCUGCUCACUCACCGGGCAGCCAUCGGCAGGAUGUUAGCCGAUCACAAGGCGGCCAUUCUUAUGAUUUAUUCAAACACUCAUUACAGUCAAUCUAUUUUUACACAGAGGUGAAGAUGUGCACUGAUAACGGUUAAUCAUUUAUAAUUCCAUGAACUGGUUGAAAGCCAAUGUACUAUCAAAGUCGCAGCAGUAGUUCCUCAGGCCUCAGCCCCUGAAGCAAAAAAGAGAAGUCUUUAUGCUGGCCCUGGGUAACCCGGUCACAUGCUUGCUAACACUUAUCAACUAGGUAGAAGGUGAGUCCCAGACCUGCUCCGCUGGACCUCAUGCCCUGCUGGAGGAAGCACGAGCCAGAGAUGCGGGCAGAGAGGCGGUUCCGCAGAAUACCAGAAGAGAGAGGUCACAUCGAGCUGGAGUUACCAAGAAGUACUGUGCAGAGAAGCCAGAACUUUGGCCAGGUCCUACAGGAGGAACUUAAGGUGAAAAGUCCAGAGGGGGUUGAAAGAAAACUGUGCAUGAAAAAG
Mus musculus (house mouse) is the source of this 25928-nucleotide long non-coding RNA. RefSeq annotates it as predicted gene, 34538. The transcript is spliced from 4 exons. Lineage: Eukaryota; Metazoa; Chordata; Mammalia; Rodentia; Muridae. The record is from RefSeq and is a predicted model, not a curated record.